ACUCCUACGGGAGGCAGCAGUGGGGAAUAUUGCACAAUGGGGGAAACCCUGAUGCAGCCAUGCCGCGUGUGUGAAGAAGGCCUUCGGGUUGUAAAGCACUUUCAGUAGGGAGGAAGUAGUGUAGUUAACACCUGCACUAUUUGACGUUACCUACAGAAGAAGCACCGGCUAACUCCGUGCCAGCAGCCGCGGUAAUACGGAGGGUGCGAGCGUUAAUCGGAAUUACUGGGCGUAAAGCGCAUGCAGGCGGCCUGUUAAGUCAGAUGUGAAAGCCCGGGGCUUAACCUCGGAAAUUGCAUUUGAAAACUGGCAGUAGCAUGAAGUCUUGUAGAGGGGGGUAGAAUUUGCAGGUGUAGCGGUGAAAUGCGUAGAGAUCUGAAGGAAUACCAGUGGCGAAGGCGGCCCCCUGGCACAAAGACUGACGCUCAGAUGCGAAAGCGUGGGGAGCAAACAGGAAUUAGAUGACCCU
This 469-nucleotide ribosomal RNA is filed under the name uncultured bacterium. RNAcentral describes it as "bacterial SSU rRNA". It matches the Rfam family "Bacterial small subunit ribosomal RNA", at positions 335 to 788 of the family's 1533-position model. The record is from RNAcentral.